RNAcentral lists this ribosomal RNA (890 nucleotides) under uncultured bacterium. Its description in RNAcentral is "bacterial SSU rRNA". It matches the Rfam family "Bacterial small subunit ribosomal RNA", at positions 28 to 896 of the family's 1533-position model. The record is from RNAcentral.
AAUGAACGCUGGCGGCGUGCUUAACACAUGCAAGUCGAACGAGGCUGGGGGGGCAACUCCUCAGUCGAGUGGCGGACGGGUGAGUAACACGUGGGUAACCUGCCCGGAAGUGGGGAAUACCUCGGGGAAACUCGAGCUAAUACCGCAUGACAUCUUCGGGACGAAAGUCCUGGCGAUCAAAGCGGGGUCGCAAGAUCUCGCGCUACCGGAUGGGCCCGCGCCCGAUUAGCUAGUUGGCGAGGUAACGGCUCACCAAGGCUUCGAUCGGUAACCGGCCUGAGAGGGCGAUCGGUCACACCGGAACUGAGACACGGUCCGGACUCCUACGGGAGGCAGCAGUGGGGAAUCUUGCGCAAUGGGCGAAAGCCUGACGCAGCAACGCCGCGUGGAGGAUGAAGGCCCUUGGGUUGUAAACUCCUGUCGGUUGGGAAGAAAUCUUGCGGGGCUCAUACCUCCGCAAGUUGACUGUACCAGCAAAGGAAGCCCCGGCUAACUCUGUGCCAGCAGCCGCGGUAAUACAGAGGGGGCCAGCGUUAUUCGGAAUUAUUGGGCGUAAAGGGCGCGUAGGCGGCCUUGCGUGUCUUCCGUGAAAUCCCUCGGCUUAACUGAGGACGUGCGGGAGAAACUGCAGGGCUGGAGUCCGGGAGAGGGGGGUGGAAUUCCCAGUGUAGCGGUGAAAUGCGUAGAUAUUGGGAGGAACACCGGUGGCGAAGGCGGCCCCCUGGACCGGUACUGACGCUGAGGCGCGAAAGCGUGGGUAGCAAACGGGAUUAGAUACCCCGGUAGUCCACGCCGUAAACGAUGGGCACUUGGUGUCGCGGGUAUCGACCCCUGCGGUGCCGAAGCUAACGCAUUAAGUGCCCCGCCUGGGGAGUACGGUCGCAAGGCUG